ACUAUUUUGGCAGAGAAUUGUAAUGAUUUUAGAAGUCAUAUUAUAUAUAUUUAUAAUAUAUAGAUAGUA
This 69-nucleotide transfer RNA is filed under the name Mallika jacksoni. RNAcentral describes it as "tRNA-Leu". Lineage: Eukaryota; Metazoa; Arthropoda; Insecta; Lepidoptera; Nymphalidae. The record is from RNAcentral.